This 513-nucleotide ribosomal RNA is filed under the name Triticum aestivum (bread wheat). RNAcentral's name for it is "partial small subunit ribosomal RNA". The record is from RNAcentral. Lineage: Eukaryota; Viridiplantae; Streptophyta; Magnoliopsida; Poales; Poaceae.
AUGGAAGUAGAUUUAGGUGGUCAUAAAAGAAGAGGAUAUGGCGAGUCUUCUGUAAAAAGAGAAGGAGAAAGAGAGAGACCUACUCGAUCAGCUGGAAAAUGGCCUCCUGAAAAAGAUGAUUAUCAACCUACAUAUAUCCCUGGACAAUAUACAUUUAUGGGUUCUAAAAGAAGAGGUUUUGAAAAACUAAGCAAGGCUACAAUAAAGGUGUGGUUGAAAGAUGACGAGUCAAUAUACCCCAUUAUAGAAACAGAUGAAAUAGAAAAUGAAGAGCUAGAAGAAGAAUCUAGUGAAUAUGAAAUAGAUUUAAUAGAUGAUCUAUCAGGAUUAAAAGUAGAGAUGAUGAACCAGAUCAUAUGGAUAUUGCCGGGCACGGGCAACCAAUUGAAUAAAAGAAGGAAAGAUGUUUUACGGGUUGACAAAACCAACGAGACAACCUACGGGCAGUUCCAUCCAAAGGGAACACUUCUCUACAGCCACAAGGUUCUCAUUCAAACGCCACACAUCGGCUAA